CCAGACUCCUACGGGAGGCAGCAGUAGGGAAUAUUGCUCAAUGGGGGAAACCCUGAAGCAGCAACGCCGCGUGGAGGAUGAAGGUUUUAGGAUUGUAAACUCCUUUUGUUAGAGAAGAUUAUGACGGUAUCUAACGAAUAAGCACCGGCUAACUCCGUGCCAGCAGCCGCGGUAAUACGGAGGGUGCAAGCGUUACUCGGAAUUACUGGGCGUAAAGAGUGCGUAGGCGGGGUAAUAAGUCAGUUGUGAAAUUCUGUAGCUUAACCGCAGAACUGCAUUUGAAACUGUUACUCUGGAGUGUAGGAGAGGUAGGUGGAAUUCUUGGUGUAGGGGUAAAAUCCGUAGAUAUCAAGAGGAAUACUGAUUGCGAAGGCGACCUGCUGGACCAUAACUGACGCUGAUGCACGAAAGUGUGGGGAUCAAACAGGAUUAGAUACCCCGGUA
Molecule: ribosomal RNA, 444 nt
Filed under: uncultured bacterium
Lineage: Bacteria
Description: bacterial SSU rRNA
Rfam family: Bacterial small subunit ribosomal RNA
Source: RNAcentral